RNAcentral lists this transfer RNA (73 nucleotides) under Ignavibacteriales bacterium. It matches the Rfam family "tRNA". From Rfam's summary of the family: Transfer RNA (tRNA) molecules are approximately 80 nucleotides in length. Lineage: Bacteria; Pseudomonadati; Ignavibacteriota; Ignavibacteria; Ignavibacteriales. The record is from Rfam by way of RNAcentral.
GGGGACGUAGCUCAGCUGGGAGAGCGUCUGAAUGGCAUUCAGAAGGUCGAGAGUUCGAUCCUCUUCGUCUCCA